RNAcentral lists this ribosomal RNA (406 nucleotides) under uncultured bacterium. RNAcentral's name for it is "partial 16S ribosomal RNA". It matches the Rfam family "Bacterial small subunit ribosomal RNA", at positions 30 to 526 of the family's 1533-position model. The record is from RNAcentral.
AUUGAACGCUGGCGGCAGGCUUAACACAUGCAAGUCGAACGAGCGGCGGACGGGUGAGUAAUGUCUGGGAAACUGCCUGAUGGAGGGGGAUAACUACUGGCAACGGUAGCUAAUACCGCAUACCAUCAGAUGUGCCCAGAUGGGAUUAGCUGGUUGGUGGGGUAACGGCUCACCAAAGCGACGAUCCCUAGCUGGUCUUAGAGGAUGACCAGCCACACUGGAACUGAGACACGGGCCAGACUCCUACGUGAGGCAGCAGUGGGGAAUAUUGCACAAUGGGGGCAAGCCUGAUGAAGCCAUGCCGCGUGUAUGAAGAAGGCCUUCGGGUUGUAAAGUACUUUCAGCGAGGAGGCGUUACCCGCAGAAGAAGCACCGGCUAACUCCGUGCCAGCAGCCGCGGUAAUAC